GUGCUCCCUUUGGCAGCACUUAUACUAAAAUUAGAACAAUACAGAGAAGAUUAGCAUGGCCCUUGCACAAGGAUGAUCUACAAAUUUGUGAAGCGUUCUAUAUUUUU
This is a non-coding RNA of Pteropus alecto (black flying fox), 107 nucleotides long. Lineage: Eukaryota; Metazoa; Chordata; Mammalia; Chiroptera; Pteropodidae. The record is from Rfam.